Lontra canadensis (Northern American river otter) is the source of this 97-nucleotide long non-coding RNA. RefSeq lists it as uncharacterized. The transcript is spliced from 3 exons. The record is from RefSeq and is a predicted model, not a curated record. Lineage: Eukaryota; Metazoa; Chordata; Mammalia; Carnivora; Mustelidae.
CUCUGUCAAAUAAGUAAAAUCUUUAAAAAAGAAAAAAAUAAUAAUUAGAACAUAGUUGGAAACUAGAGAAAAUAGGAUUUAAUCUACUAUCACAUCC